RNAcentral lists this ribosomal RNA (481 nucleotides) under uncultured Anaerolineaceae bacterium. RNAcentral's name for it is "bacterial SSU rRNA". It matches the Rfam family "Bacterial small subunit ribosomal RNA", at positions 888 to 1382 of the family's 1533-position model. Lineage: Bacteria; Bacillati; Chloroflexota; Anaerolineae; Anaerolineales; Anaerolineaceae. The record is from RNAcentral.
CCCGCUCAGAAACUCAAAUGAAUUGACGGGGCCCGCACAAGCAGCGGAGCGUGUGGUUUAAUUCGAUGCUACACGAAGAACCUUACCCGGGUUUGACAUGCAAGUGGUAGUGAUCCGAAAGGUGAACGACCCGCAAGGGAGCUUGCACAGGUGUUGCAUGGCUGUCGUCAGCUCGUGUCGUGAGGUGUUCGGUUAAGUCCGCUAACGAGCGCAACCCUCGCUGUAUGUUACAUGUGUCAUACAGGACCGCCGGUAUCAAGCCGGAGGAAGGUGGGGAUGACGUCAAGUCCGCAUGGCCUUUAUGUCCGGGGCUACACACACGCUACAAUGGUCGGUACAAUGGGUUGCUAAGCCGCGAGGUGGAGCCAAUCCCCCAAAGCCGGCCUCAGUUCAGAUUGCAGGCUGCAACUCGCCUGCAUGAAGCUGGAGUUGCUAGUAAACGCGCGUCAGCUAUAGUGCGUUGAAUACGUUCUCGGGCCUU